This 497-nucleotide ribosomal RNA is filed under the name uncultured bacterium. RNAcentral's name for it is "partial 16S ribosomal RNA". It matches the Rfam family "Bacterial small subunit ribosomal RNA", at positions 28 to 507 of the family's 1533-position model. The record is from RNAcentral.
GAUGAACGCUGGCGGCGUGCCUAAUACAUGCAAGUCGAGCGAACGGACGAGAAGCUUGCUUCUCUGCUGUUAGCGGCGGACGGGUGAGUAACACGUGGAUAACCUACCUAUAAGACUGGGAUAACUUCGGGAAACCGGAGCUAAUACCGGAUGAUAUUUUGAACCGCAUGGUUCAAAAGUGAAAGACGGUCUUGCUGUCACUUAUAGAUGGAUCCGCGCUGCAUUAGCUAGUUGGUAAGGUAACGGCUUACCAAGGCAACGAUGCAUAGCCGACCUGAGAGGGUGAUCGGCCACACUGGAACUGAGACACGGUCCAGACUCCUACGGGAGGCAGCAGUAGGGAAUCUUCCGCAAUGGGCGAAAGCCUGACGGAGCAACGCCGAGUGAGUGAUGAAGGUCUUCGGAUCGUAAAACUCUGUUAUUAGGGAAGAACAUAUGUGUAAGUAACUGUGCACAUCUUGACGGUACCUAAUCAGAAAGCCACGGCUAACUACGUG